CUUCUGUUAUGAUUGUAAGUUUCCUGAGGCCUCCCCAGCCAUGCAGAACUAUGAGUCAAUUAAACCCCUUUUCUUUAUAAAUUACCAAGUCUUGGUUAUUUCUUCAUAGCAGCAUGAGAAUAGACUAACACAUAAUGAAAUCUGGCUGGGUGCAGUGGCUCAUGCCUGUAAUUCCAGCACUUUGGGAGGCUGAAGUGGGCAGAUCACCUAAGGUCAGGAUUUCAAGUCCAGCCUGGUCAACAUGUCCAAACCUUGUCUCUAUUGAAAAUACAAAAUUAGGAUCGGGUCAGGAGAGAAUGGCGCGCAGGCACCGUAAUCCCAGCUACUCAGGAGACUGAGGCAGGAGAAUUUCUUGAACCCGGGAGGUGGAGGUUGCAGCGAACCAAUGUUGUGCCACUGCACUCCAGCCUGGGUGACAGACUGAGACUCCAUCUUAAAACAACAACAAAAAAAAGAAAUCUAAUUUAUCAAUUAAGAUUAUCUUAAUUUCUGCAGCACUGCAAACAUUGACAGAGAAGGAAAUAUGGAUCUGGCAAGAAUUAUAUUCUUCUUCUUUUUUUUUUUUUGAGAUGGAGUCUCACUCUGUCACCCAGGCAGGAGUGCAGUGGCGCGAUCUCAGCUCACUGCAACCUCUGCCUCCUAGGUUCAAGCAAUUCUCUGCCUCAGCCUCACCAGGAGCUGGGAUUACAGGCACCCGCCACCACACCUGGCUAAUUUGUGUAUUUUUAGUAGAGACGGGUUUCACUGUCUUGGCCAGGCUGGUCUUGAACUCCUGACUUCAUGAUCCACCAGCCUCAGCCUCCCAAAGUGCUGGAAUUACAAGCGUGAGCCCCGUGCCUGGCCUACUUCUUUUAUUUAAAAGUAAAAUAAGGCAAAUUCAGAAGAGGAGCUCUGUAUUAGUGAAGAUUCUCUGGAGAAAUAGAACCAAUUUUACAUAUAGCCAUGUAUCAUUUAAUGAUGGGGAAAUGUUCUGAGAAAUGUGUUACUGGGGGCUUCAUCAUUGUGUGAACAUCAUAGAGUGUAUUUACACAAACCUAGAUGAUACAGCUACUACACAACUACACACCUAGGCUGUACAGUAUAGCCUAUUGCUCCUAGGCUACACACUCAUGUGGCACAUUACUGGACCGAAUGGCACGGGCAAUUGGAGCACAAUGGUAAGUAUUUGUGUAUCUAAACAUAGAAGAGGUACAGUAAAAACAUGGUGUUAUAAUCUUAUGGGAUAACCACCAUGUAUACAGGCUGUCAUUGACUGAAAUAUCUAUAUGUAGCACUUGACUGUAUACAAAUGCAUAUAAAGCCUAUAUGUAUAUAAAUGUCUACAUAUAAAUAAAGAGAGAGAUUUAUUAUUUUUAUAGGAAUUGGCUCAUGGAGGCUUAUGGAGGCUGAGAAACCUCACCAUCUGUCUGCAAGCAGGAGAACCAGGGAAGUCAGUGGUAUAAUUCAAUCCAAGUUUAAAGGCCUGAAACCAGAAGCUGUGGAUGUCCCAGCUCAUGGACAGAAAAGGGAUUCUCUACCCUCUACAUUUUGUUCGAUGGGGGCCCUCAAUGGAUUGAGUGACACCUGCCAAAACUGGUGGGAGAGGAUCUUCUUUACUAGGUCUACUGAUUCAAAGGCUAACCACUUCUGGAAACACUCUUACAGAAACAGCCACGGGUAAUGUUUCAUUACCCAUCUGGGCAUCCCUUUAGCUCAGUCAAGUUGACACAUAAACUUAACCAUCACAAGCUGCUAUUUCCAGGACUGUUCCCAAUGUGUUGUUAAACAAAGAGCAGCCAGUUGAAUUGACCACAACCCUGGCUAUGCAUAUCACUUAAGAGGCUUGUAAAAAGUAAAGACGCCAUGAAUUUUACAUUACGUGAAUUUUACCUCAAUAAAAAGGAGCCUAUGGCAUACAUAAGGGGGAGUAGGGGGAAAAUUAAAAAAAAAAAAA
This is a long non-coding RNA of Macaca fascicularis (crab-eating macaque), 1933 nucleotides long. The record is from Ensembl. Lineage: Eukaryota; Metazoa; Chordata; Mammalia; Primates; Cercopithecidae.